This 405-nucleotide ribosomal RNA is filed under the name Triticum aestivum (bread wheat). RNAcentral describes it as "partial small subunit ribosomal RNA". Lineage: Eukaryota; Viridiplantae; Streptophyta; Magnoliopsida; Poales; Poaceae. The record is from RNAcentral.
AUGAUCUGGCAUGUACAUAAUGAAAUAUUCAUUCUCGAUUCUAUAAUUUUUAUGAAAAUGUUUCAUUUGCUUCUCUUCAAUGGAAGUUUCAUUUCCUCACAAUGUAUCCUAUUUGGCCUAAUCCUUCUUUUGAUGAUCGAUUUAACCUCUGGUAAAAAAGAUAGACCUUGGUUCUAUUUAAUCUCUUCAACAAGUUUAGUAAUAAGUAUAAUGGCCUUAUUGUUCUGACAGAGAGAAGAACCUAUAAUUAGCUUUUCGAAAAAUUUUCAAACAAACAGUUUCAACGAAAUCUUUCAAUUUCUCAAUUUAUUAUGUUCAAGUUUAUGUAUUCCUUUAUCCGUAGAGUACAUUGAAUGCACAAAAAUGGCUAUGACAGAGUUUUUGUUAUUCACAUUAACAACUUGA